This 253-nucleotide ribosomal RNA is filed under the name uncultured bacterium. Its description in RNAcentral is "partial 16S ribosomal RNA". It matches the Rfam family "Bacterial small subunit ribosomal RNA", at positions 524 to 776 of the family's 1533-position model. The record is from RNAcentral.
UACGAAGGGGGCUAGCGUUGCUCGGAAUCACUGGGCGUAAAGGGUCUGUAGGUGGCCAACUAAGUCAGACGUGAAAUCCCUCAGCUUAACUGGGGAACUGCGUCUGAUACUGGAUGGCUUGAGUGUGGGAGAGGAAUGCGGAAUUCCAGGUGUAGCGGUGAAAUGCGUAGAUAUCUGGAGGAACACCGGUGGCGAAGGCGGCAUUCUGGACCAUAACUGACACUGAGAGACGAAAGCCAGGGGAGCAAACGGG